Molecule: non-coding RNA, 208 nt
Organism: Pelobates cultripes (western spadefoot toad)
Lineage: Eukaryota; Metazoa; Chordata; Amphibia; Anura; Pelobatidae
Source: the annotation of a GenBank genome assembly
CUCCUUCCUAAUUGCACCUCAAUCUUUCCAAAGUGAUUAAUGUCUCCAGCUAAUUGUGCUUCUCUCUCACCCAGAGCCUCCUCUCCGCCCCUGUUAUUCUGCACUGGGAAUGGUGUCUACUAGCUAUCCCAGCCACAUGGCGCUCGCUGUGGGACGUCACACUCCGGACUUAUCAUAACAUCAAGACUGUCCCCAGGGCGAUAACAAG